GAUGGCUCUAAAACUCCAUCGUUCAAGAACAUCUACAAAAACAACUCUACCGUUUGUUCAAAGCUGCAGAGAUCAGAAGUUUACGCACCAUGAGGUGCAACGUUCAGGUUCAUCCAGUGUGGGUGGGAAACGCCGAUGUUUACGCAUUUGAAGGUGAGAGAAGCUGAAGGAUGAACUGAGUUUAUGAAGAUGUUCCUCCUGAAGCUGAAACCUCCAGACCAAAUGCAAACCGUCUCCAUGAAAAACAUUCAGGUCUUCAGAAAAGCUGUAAAGUCAAAGAUCAGAGGUGAAGGUAAUUAAAAGUUCCUAACUUGUUCCUCUGCCUGGCUGCAGAUCCUGAGGUCUGAACUUCAGGUCUGAGUUAAACAGAUGAAAGCAUCGAGCUUUCUCCUUGAAAGCAUUUUGAAAGAAUGGUUGUUCAGUCCUGAUUAGCAUGAAGGUUAGACGGGAACUGAAUGCCGUCUAGACGACAACACUUCAUCCAUCUGCAUCCUCAGGUCAGCUCUGUCCUAGUCAAAGCAUCUCUAUGAGAACAAAGCUCUUCUGCAGAACUUAGACCUUCAGGUCCCGGAGACAAAUCUGAAUAAACUUUUAUGAAGAGUUUAAGUUAAGACUGUUUGUUGCACAUUUAUUAAAGAAAAAUGUA
This is a long non-coding RNA of Gambusia affinis (western mosquitofish), 646 nucleotides long. RefSeq lists it as uncharacterized. The record is from RefSeq and is a predicted model, not a curated record. NCBI's taxonomy places the organism in Eukaryota, Metazoa, Chordata, Actinopteri, Cyprinodontiformes, Poeciliidae. The transcript has 3 exons.